Molecule: ribosomal RNA, 301 nt
Filed under: uncultured bacterium
Lineage: Bacteria
Description: partial 16S ribosomal RNA
Rfam family: Bacterial small subunit ribosomal RNA
Source: RNAcentral
CAGUCGCCGCGGUAAUACGAAGGGGGCUAGCGUUGUUCGGAUUUACUGGGCGUAAAGCGCACGUAGGCGGACUUUUAAGUCAGGGGUGAAAUCCCGGGGCUCAACCCCGGAACUGCCUUUGAUACUGGAAGUCUUGAGUAUGGUAGAGAUGAGUGGAAUUCCGAGUGUAGAGGUGAAAUUCGUAGAUAUUCGGAGGAACACCAGUGGCGAAGGCGGCUCACUGGACCAUUACUGACGCUGAGGUGCGAAAGCGUGGGGAGCAAACAGGAUUAGAUACCCCCGUAGUCCCUGUCUCUUAUAC